CUGGUCCUACGGGGGGCAGCAGUGGGGGAUAUUGCACAAUGGGGGAAACCCUGAUGCAGCGACGCCGCGUGGGUGAAGAAGCGCCUCGGCGCGUAAAGCCCUGUCAGCAGGGAAGAAAAUGACGGUACCUGAAGAAGAAGCCCCGGCUAACUACGUGCCAGCAGCCGCGGUAAUACGUAGGGGGCAAGCGUUAUCCGGAUUUACUGGGUGUAAAGGGGGCGCAGACGGCGAUGCAAGCCAGGAGUGAACGCCCGGGGCCCACCCCCGGGACUGCUCUUGGAACUGCGGGGCUAGAGUGCAGGAGG
Molecule: ribosomal RNA, 305 nt
Filed under: uncultured bacterium
Lineage: Bacteria
Description: partial 16S ribosomal RNA
Rfam family: Bacterial small subunit ribosomal RNA
Source: RNAcentral